Long non-coding RNA from Monopterus albus (swamp eel), 1347 nucleotides. RefSeq lists it as uncharacterized. The transcript has 3 exons. NCBI's taxonomy places the organism in Eukaryota, Metazoa, Chordata, Actinopteri, Synbranchiformes, Synbranchidae. The record is from RefSeq and is a predicted model, not a curated record.
CCCACCGUUCACCGUUCACAGAGAUGGCCAAUCAUCAUUUUGAGCGUUUCAUCGAUGAUGGGAUCGCUGACCAACUGGAUUAAUCCCAGGCUUCAAGUGAGCCAAUAGAAAACCGGUUCUGCCCCUCCUGUUUUACUGCAGAAAUCCAAGGCUUGUAGCCAGCAGCGUCGUCACUAUCUAGGCUGACAUUUUGUGUAAAUGGACGCACAAGGUCUGCUGAGCUUGUAGUGUGUCAUGUUUCCUUAUCGUAAAGGAAAAGGUUUGCUUAGUUCAGAUGAUGCUGUGACCUGUCAUGCAGAAUACAGGAGGAAGCCUCAACCUGAUUUAAGAAACAAGACAGUUUAUGAAGGCGGACCACCUGCUUAACAAGGUAGCGAGAGCAUUCAUCUGCACCACAGGCCUGUUCGCUGCAAUCGGAUGAGAAAGAAGACACACUCCUGUUUGACUGGACAGGAGCUGAAACUUAGUUUAGCAUAAGUGACUGGAGUAUAAGAGGACACUAAUGUAGCUGGGCUUGAUGGCAGUGUGUUUUUGUAAACAAGCACAAAACAAAGAAAAAAUGAGAGCGAAAAACUGUGAUGUUACAUGAAUGUAGGUACAGGAAAUACAAAUCAACAGAGUGAGUUGAAGAAUGCGUAAUGUACAUUCCUCCUGUCUCCGUUUCUGUCACACUAUCCUCUCACACACAUUGAAGGAUGUUCUACACCAGUCAAGAGCGCAUUGCUGACAAUAACUCGGUGUACAGUUACAGUUGUGGAUGAAACUAAUUUAUGGGUAAACCCUGAGGCACAGAGAUUUGAGUUCAGCCAGGAAGGCGUUUAAAGGUCACGUUGGACAUCCCAUUGCUUUAAAUAAGAACAUGUGGUGACAGUUAAAGGGACAGGCACAAAAGAAUGAUGCAGUAUGAGCUAAUAUCAUCAAAAAUUUAAUCAGCAUUUUAAACCAACUGGUGUCACGACUGCCCCUGGGAAACAGACUGCAAAUGUCACACACACACACAUAUAUAGCAGGGUCAGAACAAUGGGCAAUGUUUUUUUUUUUAAUUUACAAUGUUAGUAACAUGUUUAUCUCUCUUAAAGUAUAAAGUUAGAUGAGAAGAUCAAUACACACCCUCAUACCUGUCACAUGACUACAGACUGUAAAUCAUUCUUCUCUGUGUGUGCUACUGUUUCACAGACAUUUAGCAUUUGCCUUUGUCCUGUAAUUACCACGAGAUCACAGUAGCACUGUUCAGCCAUAGUUACACAGCACUGAGUGAACUAUGCUAUCUCAAUUUUAACUGCUAUCUCAGUUCUCUUUGUUCUAUUGAUUCAGACAUACUGUAUGUAAUAAUAUCUUAUAAAAUGU